RNAcentral lists this ribosomal RNA (465 nucleotides) under Vreelandella stevensii. RNAcentral describes it as "partial 16S ribosomal RNA". It matches the Rfam family "Bacterial small subunit ribosomal RNA", at positions 338 to 795 of the family's 1533-position model. Lineage: Bacteria; Pseudomonadati; Pseudomonadota; Gammaproteobacteria; Oceanospirillales; Halomonadaceae. The record is from RNAcentral.
CCUACGGGUGGCUGCAGUGGGGAAUAUUGGACAAUGGGGGCAACCCUGAUCCAGCCAUGCCGCGUGUGUGAAGAAGGCCCUCGGGUUGUAAAGCACUUUCAGUGAGGAAGAACGCCUGGUGGUUAAUACCCAUCAGGAAAGACAUCACUCACAGAAGAAGCACCGGCUAACUCCGUGCCAGCAGCCGCGGUAAUACGGAGGGUGCGAGCGUUAAUCGGAAUUACUGGGCGUAAAGCGCGCGUAGGUGGCUUGAUAAGCCGGUUGUGAAAGCCCCGGGCUCAACCUGGGAACGGCAUCCGGAACUGUCAAGCUAGGGUGCAGGAGAGGAAGGUAGAAUUCCCGGUGUAGCGGUGAAAUGCGUAGAGAUCGGGAGGAAUACCAGUGGCGAAGGCGGCCUUCUGGACUGACACUGACACUGAGGUGCGAAAGCGUGGGUAGCAAACAGGAUUAGAUACCCGUGUAGUC